This 254-nucleotide ribosomal RNA is filed under the name uncultured bacterium. Its description in RNAcentral is "partial 16S ribosomal RNA". It matches the Rfam family "Bacterial small subunit ribosomal RNA", at positions 524 to 776 of the family's 1533-position model. The record is from RNAcentral.
UACGGGGGGGGGCAAGCGUUGUUCGGAAUUACUGGGCGUAAAGGGCUCGUAGGCGGCCAACUAAGUCGGAUGUGAAAUCCCCAGGCUCAACCUGGGAACUGCAUCCGAUACUGGAUGGCUUGAAUUCGGGAGAGGGAUGCAGAAUUCCAGGUGUAGCGGUGAAAUGCGUAGAGAUCGGGAGGAACACCAGUGGCGAAGGCGGCUCGCUGGGCCGGUCCUGACACUGAGGCGCGAAGGCGUGGGGAGCGAACGGG